CUUCGGGUUGUAAACCUCUUUUAGUAGGGAAGAAGCGACUGAGUUUACUCUGAGUGACGGUACCUGCAGAAAAAGCACCGGCUAACUACGUGCCAGCAGCCGCGGUAAUACGUAGGGUGCAAGCGUUGUCCGGAAUUAUUGGGCGUAAAGAGCUCGUAGGCGGUUUGUCGCGUCUGCUGUGAAAUCCCGAGGCUCAACCUCGGGCUUGCAGUGGGUACGGGCAGACUAGAGUGCGGUAGGGGAGAUUGGAAUUCCUGGUGUAGCGGUGGAAUGCGCAGAUAUCAGGAGGAACACCGAUGGCGAAGGCAGAUCUCUGGGCCGUAACUGACGCUGAGGAGCGAAAGCAUGGGGAGCGAACAGGAUUAGAUACCCUGGUAGUCCAUGCCGUAAACGUUGGGCGCUAGAUGUAGGGACCUUU
RNAcentral lists this ribosomal RNA (418 nucleotides) under Curtobacterium sp. RNAcentral's name for it is "bacterial SSU rRNA". It matches the Rfam family "Bacterial small subunit ribosomal RNA", at positions 416 to 833 of the family's 1533-position model. The record is from RNAcentral. Lineage: Bacteria; Bacillati; Actinomycetota; Actinomycetes; Micrococcales; Microbacteriaceae.